Molecule: long non-coding RNA, 1561 nt
Organism: Siniperca chuatsi (mandarin fish)
Lineage: Eukaryota; Metazoa; Chordata; Actinopteri; Centrarchiformes; Sinipercidae
Exons: 4
Source: RefSeq, a predicted model, not a curated record
UGGUAGUUAUUUGUGCUAUUGAUUGGUUGCCGAAUGUCAAGAAGGCGGGUUUUAGUUAAUACGAGCCUGUCAGGGCUAAAGACGAAGGGGGAAAAGAGAUAAAGAGCGAAAGAAGGAGGAAGGAAAGAAAGCACAAGAAAGUCGGCGUGCUGCAGAGUAGUGAAACGCCGAGCUGUGAGCCGUCAGUGUGCAGUUGGUGACGUAAGAGGAGUGAGGCGACACUGCGGGGGACGAGUCCAACUCACCCUUCAUCCUUCUUAGGAGUCAGCAUCUGAUGGGACUCAGUAUAUGUUGGGGCCUGUUAGGAGCUGGCGUAGCCACACGGCUUAGUGUUAAUGACUUCCCCUAGACCUACCUAAGUCACUUCUCCAGUUCUACAUGUGCUGUGACAGUAAUAUCAUUAUAAAUAUAGGAGAUAUAUUUAGGCCUGGUUUUAAGAGGGGAUCCCUCUUCCUGAUCCAGGUCUGAUUACAUCUUUACCGCUGCUCCUAUGUGUUGAUAGGAGCCAGUUGAGGUAUUUGACGGAAAUAUCUCAAGUGGCUCCGACAUGUGCCGUGCUGGCCUGAGGUUCAGUGGGCUUCAUGCUGAUAGAAGGAGCCAGGGAUAAAAAAAUGAAUGGAGGACCUGCUCUGCCACCUGAGCUGCUGCCACAUCAUGAUCACAUCAUGUGGGGAAAAGAUAAAUGCAGGAUGCGAGAUUCUGACUUGGAAAGAAAGUGACCUACAGCAGUCUGUUAUAUAAAGACACAGGAGAGGUUAAGGUGACUUUACGGGACACAGGUGCAGCUGGCUGUAACUGCCAACUGAGACUCAACGUUCCCACAGUACACCUGGGUUUCCAUGAGGACGAAGAAGAAAUGCCCACUCCCGACCAGAUCAGGACGACUGAGGACAGGACGAGAUGGAGAGCAUGUGGUGUUUCAGUCAACAAAUUUCAGGGACUCUUCCUAAGGUAGCUGACAGUCGAUGUCAACCAGCCAAUCAGGAAGCUCCGGCACCACAGCAGUACACCCUUCUGCACCAAACCUGCCUCCAGACGCCAAACCAGAGCAUCAGCAGCGAGAAGACGACGGCAGCUCCAGUCAGGAGGAUGAAGAGCGUCCUGAUCUCACCUGUGCAGACGAAUCUGUGUCACUCGGCGCGUCCUCUGUGAAGCUCCUCGCACACGCUGAAGAAGCUGUCAGCAUCCGCUCGCCUCCAUGUGCAGAAAUCAAGACGCUCAAGAAAGAGACUGACAGUUGAGACUGAAUGAAAAACAAAACGAAGUUCAACUCAGGGCUGAAAUGUUUAAACUACACUACAAGCGUUACCUCACCUAAUGUUUUAGGUCAUGUAUUUAUCUGAGUGUCUGAUUCAUUAGCAUUCUUAAUUGUAUUUAAUAUAAAGUUUAUUUCCUAAAAGAAAUAAAGUUGUAAGAAAAACAUUUCAAUGAUUUUACAUAUUUAAUGCUAAAGUCUGUCACAGCAGGACAUCUUACAGUCUUAUAAAAUACAUUUUGUGGAAAUUGGGAUUUUUUUCUGAUUUUCAUUGGACUCAAAUGUAUUAAGAGAAGUUUUUACUCU